This 296-nucleotide unclassified non-coding RNA is filed under the name uncultured Sordariomycetes. RNAcentral describes it as "sequence contains ITS1". The stretch from base 1 to 105 matches the Rfam family "5.8S ribosomal RNA", at positions 50 to 154 of the family's 154-position model. Lineage: Eukaryota; Fungi; Ascomycota; Sordariomycetes. The record is from RNAcentral.
GAAAUGCGAUAAGUAAUGUGAAUUGCAGAAUUCAGCGAACCAUCGAAUCUUUGAACGCACAUUGCGCCCAUUAGUAUUCUAUUGGGCAUGCCUAUUCGAGCGUCAUUUCCACCCUCAGGCUUGCCUGGUGAUGGGGCUUUGUACCUACAAACCCUAAAAAAUAGUGGCGGGCGUGCUGAAAACCCGAGCGUAGUAAACUUUUCUCGCUAUGGGCUACAGUGCUGUCCCUGCCGUAAACCCCCCUCUAUAAUGACAAGGUUGACCUCGGAUUAGGUAGGAAUACCCGCUGAACUUAA